Molecule: ribosomal RNA, 232 nt
Filed under: uncultured bacterium
Lineage: Bacteria
Description: partial 16S ribosomal RNA
Rfam family: Bacterial small subunit ribosomal RNA
Source: RNAcentral
CGGACGGGUGAGUAAUGUCUGGGAAACUGCCCGAUGGAGGGGGAUAACUACUGGAAACGGUAGCUAAUACCGCAUAAUGUCUGCGGACCAAAGCGGGGGACCUCCGGGCCUCGCGCCAUCAGAUGAACCCAUAUGGGAUUAGCUAGUAGGUAAGGUAACGGCUUACCUAGGCGACGAUCCCUAGCUGGUCUGAGAGGAUGAUCAGCCACACUGGGACUGAGACACGGCCCAA